RNAcentral lists this ribosomal RNA (242 nucleotides) under uncultured bacterium. RNAcentral describes it as "partial 16S ribosomal RNA". It matches the Rfam family "Bacterial small subunit ribosomal RNA", at positions 796 to 1037 of the family's 1533-position model. The record is from RNAcentral.
CACGCCGUAAACGAUGUCAACUAGCCGUUGGGACCUUGAGGUCUCAGUGGUGCAGCUAACGCGUGAAGUUGACCGCCGUGGGGAGUACGGCCGCAAGGACUAAAACUCAAAUGAAUUGACGGGGGCCCGCACAAGCGGUGGAGCAUGUGGUUUAAUUCGAUGCAACGCGAAGAACCUUACCUACCCUUGACAUUGACAGAAUCCACCAGAGAUGGAGGAGUGCCUUCGGGCCUGGAAAACAG